Non-coding RNA from Xyrauchen texanus (razorback sucker), 426 nucleotides. The record is from the annotation of a RefSeq genome assembly. Lineage: Eukaryota; Metazoa; Chordata; Actinopteri; Cypriniformes; Catostomidae.
AUGGAAAGAUACCUGCUUCUGAUUUUAAUUGUGACUCCAGGUGUGAUGGCUGCAGACCAGAUUGAACCCAAUAUAGGAACAAACAUCAUUAAGAAAGAAGAUGAUAGAGUAACACUGAGCUGCUCAUAUGAUACUAGCAGCAAUUAUGUUACACUUUACUGGUACAGACAGUAUCCUAACACAGAACCUCAGUAUUUAAUUUGGAAAGAUGCUCGGUCAUGGAGUGAUACUGGGACCCCCUCUGAUCCUCGGUUUCAGUCGACAACAUCACAAACAUCCACUGAACUCUCUAUUAAUGGUGUAACUCUGUCAGAUUCAGCUCUCUACUACUGUGCUCUUUGGAACCCAGUGAUACAAAGUCUAUGUGAAGCUGUACAAAAACAAAUUCACUUUGAUCUCAAUCAACAUCAAACCCACAAUCUAUAA